AUUGACCUCAGCCUUGUCUCUUGGCAGAGGAGACAAUACGAGUGUAAGAAACAGCUCAUAGUUUGGAGGAAACUAAGCCAAGCAGCUUGAUGUUUUUGCAGCAUAAAAUAUGAGGCUGGAAGUGGUGUAAGCUCUGUGCCCUCAAGUUUGCCUAACAACAUGUGUGCUCAAUGGGAGGAAACUGACACAUGUUUGGAGAAUGAGUUACACCAAGCUGAGGAUGGAAACUGCCAAAGCACCAGAAGCAGAGCACAGAGAAACCCCAGGAUUGUUUUGGAAAAAUGAAGAAAAUGCAGGAAACAGGCCAAAUGCCAUGGGAUACAGAGGUGCUGACUGAGUCUGAGAUUACAUCAACUGCAACAGGAUCAAGCAGACUCAACAAGACCAGUACUUAGCUGCAGGAGGAGGAAAACCCUACAAUGACAAAGGACAGG
Molecule: long non-coding RNA, 434 nt
Organism: Mustela lutreola (European mink)
Lineage: Eukaryota; Metazoa; Chordata; Mammalia; Carnivora; Mustelidae
Exons: 3
Source: RefSeq, a predicted model, not a curated record